GGGUCAGUAGGUUGGUCGUGCCACCGGUACGUACUGUUCUCACUGAUUCCUCCUUCCUGAAGAACCGUAAUGCCAUUAAUUUGGUGUUGCGGGGAAACAGGACUGUUACUUUGAAAAUAUUAGAGUGUUUAAAGCAAGCUAACGCUUGAAUACAUUAGCAUGGAAUAAUGAAAUAGGACGAUCGAUCCUAUUUUGUUGGUUUCUAGGAUUGACGUA
RNAcentral lists this ribosomal RNA (216 nucleotides) under Glomeromycotina sp. RNAcentral describes it as "partial small subunit ribosomal RNA". The stretch from base 37 to 216 matches the Rfam family "Eukaryotic small subunit ribosomal RNA", at positions 683 to 864 of the family's 1831-position model. Lineage: Eukaryota; Fungi; Glomeromycota. The record is from RNAcentral.